GGAGAGGUGGCUGAGUGGUCGAAAGCGCGCGCCUGGAAAGCGCGUUUACUUUAAUCGGUAACGUGGGUUCGAAUCCCACCCUCUCCGCCA
Molecule: transfer RNA, 90 nt
Filed under: Verrucomicrobiota bacterium
Lineage: Bacteria; Pseudomonadati; Verrucomicrobiota
Also listed under: 1 other name
Description: Verrucomicrobia bacterium (hydrothermal vent metagenome) tRNA-Ser
Rfam family: tRNA
About the family: Transfer RNA (tRNA) molecules are approximately 80 nucleotides in length. Their secondary structure includes four short double-helical elements and three loops (D, anti-codon, and T loops).
Source: RNAcentral